UGCUGUCACUUAUAGAUGGAUCCGCGCUGCAUUAGCUAGUUGGUAAGGUAACGGCUUACCAAGGCAACGAUGCAUAGCCGACCUGAGAGGGUGAUCGGCCACACUGGAACUGAGACACGGUCCAGACUCCUACGGGAGGCAGCAGUAGGGAAUCUUCCGCAAUGGGCGAAAGCCUGACGGAGCAACGCCGCGUGAGUGAUGAAGGUCUUCGGAUCGUAAAACUCUGUUAUUAGGGAAGAACAUAUGUGUAAGUAACUGUGCACAUCUUGACGGUACCUAAUCAGAAAGCCACGGCUAACUACGUGCCAGCAGCCGCGGUAAUACGUAGGUGGCAAGCGUUAUCCGGAAUUAUUGGGCGUAAAGCGCGCGUAGGCGGUUUUUUAAGUCUGAUGUGAAAGCCCACGGCUCAACCGUGGAGGGUCAUUGGAAACUGGAAAACUUGAGUGCAGAAGAGGAAAGUGGAAUUCCAUGUGUAGCGGUGAAAUGCGCAGAGAUAUGGAGGAACACCAGUGGCGAAGGCGACUUUCUGGUCUGUAACUGACG
Molecule: ribosomal RNA, 543 nt
Filed under: Staphylococcus aureus
Lineage: Bacteria; Bacillati; Bacillota; Bacilli; Caryophanales; Staphylococcaceae
Description: bacterial SSU rRNA
Rfam family: Bacterial small subunit ribosomal RNA
Source: RNAcentral